CCUACGGGAGGCAGCAGUGGGGGAUAUUGCACAAUGGGGGGAACCCUGAUGCAGCGACGCCGCGUGGGUGAAGAAGCGCCUCGGCGCGUAAAGCCCUGUCAGCAGGGAAGAAAAUGACGGUACCUGAAGAAGAAGCACCGGCUAACUACGUGCCAGCAGCCGCGGUAAUACGGAGGGGGCAAGCGUUAUCCGGAUUUACUGGGUGUAAAGGUGGCGCAGACGGCGAUGCAAGCCAGGAGUGAAAGCCCGGGGGCCAACCCCGGGACUGCUCUUGGAACUGCGUGGCUGGAGUGCAGGAGGGGCAGGCGGAAUUCCUGGUGUAGCGGUGAAAUGCGUAGAUAUCAGGAGGAACACCGGUGGCGAAGGCGGCCUGCUGGACUGCAACUGACGUUGAGGCCCGAAAGCGUGGGGAGCAAACAGGAUUAGAUACCCGUGUAGUC
Molecule: ribosomal RNA, 440 nt
Filed under: uncultured bacterium
Lineage: Bacteria
Description: partial 16S ribosomal RNA
Rfam family: Bacterial small subunit ribosomal RNA
Source: RNAcentral